RNAcentral lists this long non-coding RNA (345 nucleotides) under Setaria italica (foxtail millet). RNAcentral's name for it is "long non-coding RNA (SITA_LNC006962)". The record is from RNAcentral. Lineage: Eukaryota; Viridiplantae; Streptophyta; Magnoliopsida; Poales; Poaceae.
UUUUCUCACCUUUCCAGGUGACUGAUACAAGCCUAGUAGUAGGCCAACCGCGAGGAAGUACCAAAGGUGCCCACACUGGCAUCGUCAUCCACUUCGUCGUGCUCCCCCCUGGUCUGCACGUACAAUUUCCGCCACUAACAUGCCAAGACAACUGCUAAGGCAAGUAACAUAUCCAUUGAUGCUGAGAUUGUGUAGUUGUAUGCCUCCUGGUUAUCCGUACUUCGGUGCAAUAUAAUUGUAGCUCCUGUGUACUCAGAUGAAUCAUAACCGUGCCAACUGGGACGAGGGCACGACGAAAACUUUGCUGGACUUGUGCAUUGAUCAGAAGAACCAGUUCAAUUGGAG